UGUAAGGUUUCCAGUUUCGUACUCCAAUUGUUGCAUUCGCUUGUUUGCAACAUUUCCUUGUGGAAAUGAAAGCCUGCCUCUUCCACGAACGAGGCGUCGGAUCUACGACCUUUCUCCGUUUCCGAAUUAGUUUUUCUUCUUUGUUGGAUACGGUUGCUUCUGUUAAGUUGCUACACAUACAAUUUUCCUUUGUUUCUUUGCGCCGCUUAUCCGUUUGUUUAGAUCUGUCAUUUGUUCUCCCUCUUGCUGAACCAGGAGAUUGAAGGGCACCAUUCUUUGAUGUUCGAAUGUUUGAUUCCUUACAGGGAAGAACACAAUAAGUUUUUGCAUAGGCCUUCCUGUUUCUGAGUACUAAAAGUAUGGACCCCAAAUAUUGCUGGUUUAUCACAGCUCUCCUCCUCUUCGUUUCUUGCCAAAAAGCAGCAGCAAUCAGAGAGCAGAAGAAGGGGCGAGCCUGCUUAGAUCUGCAGCAAAAGAGGCACCACAGCAUGCUAAGCUCAUCACCGUUAUGGAAGACGAAGCCUUUGCCUCCACAUCACAAAGCAGUCAUGCCUAGCUUACAGCCCAAUUGGAGCUACCAAAUGAUAUUACAUUUAUACAGGCCAAUUUGAGCAACCAAAUGAUACAGGUCAAAUGAUUAUCCCUGCACUGCUGACAGUGGCCAACAUGAUGGAGGCAUCUUGGUUCAGAUUUGAGCCUAUUUUAAUAUCAGUUUAUAUGAAUAUUGCCAGCCGCCUCAGAAACAAUCAAAGCCUGAGCUUUCGCAUUACCAAAAACCAGGUGUUAGCCUCUACUGAACUUUAAGCUAUCUCAGAAGCCAAAUAUGGCCCCAUUGCAGUCUAUUCCUAUGAAUAAAUAUACCUCAAAUGGUAAACUAUGCGGUUAUGGAGCACGGACUAUUUUGCCAAGGAUCAAAUGCCAUUACACUAUCUUGCUCUCUGCUCCAUGAAACCAGCCUAGCCUUGAACCAUUUGCAUGCUAUUACCAAGGAGUACCUCCUUUAUGAUGAGUAAUCACUAAUGUACUUAUCCUAUAAUUAGCUGCUACUCUAAGAUGUCUACGACAAUGGCAUACUGGCUGUAUGAUCCUUUAAGGUAAUUAUGUGGCUGCCGGCGUCAUUGUUAGCACUGAUAUUUGAGCAACAUUCCUCGCUCCUCUAACUGAUAAUGUUAAUCGUUUUUUAUUUAGCGGUCAUUAUUAUUCCUUCGCUUAUAACAGCUUAUUUAUUUACUUUACCUUACAAACUCAAUACAGAAAAGCAGAGCUCCAUAUGACGAUUGAAA
This is a long non-coding RNA of Panicum virgatum (switchgrass), 1283 nucleotides long. RefSeq lists it as uncharacterized. The transcript is spliced from 6 exons. Lineage: Eukaryota; Viridiplantae; Streptophyta; Magnoliopsida; Poales; Poaceae. The record is from RefSeq and is a predicted model, not a curated record.